This 57-nucleotide transfer RNA is filed under the name Metastrongylus salmi. RNAcentral describes it as "tRNA-Glu". Lineage: Eukaryota; Metazoa; Nematoda; Chromadorea; Rhabditida; Metastrongylidae. The record is from RNAcentral.
GAGAUGAUAGUAUAUUUUUAGUAUGUUUUAUUUUCGUUAAAAUGGAUUGAGUCUUAU